This 226-nucleotide ribosomal RNA is filed under the name uncultured microorganism. Its description in RNAcentral is "partial 16S ribosomal RNA". It matches the Rfam family "Bacterial small subunit ribosomal RNA", at positions 9 to 238 of the family's 1533-position model. The record is from RNAcentral.
GAGUUUGAUCUUGGCUCAGAUUGAACGCUGGCGGCAUGCCUUACACAUGCAAGUCGAACGGUAACAGGUCUUCGGAUGCUGACGAGUGGCGAACGGGUGAGUAAGUACAUCGGAACGUGCCCGAUCGUGGGGGAUAACGAAGCGAAAGCUUUGCUAAUACCGCAUAAGAUCUACGGAUGAAAGCAGGGGACCGCAAGGCCUUGCGCGAACGGAGCGGCCGAUGGCA